RNAcentral lists this long non-coding RNA (1099 nucleotides) under Triticum aestivum (bread wheat). RNAcentral describes it as "long non-coding RNA (TAES_LNC021213)". The record is from RNAcentral. Lineage: Eukaryota; Viridiplantae; Streptophyta; Magnoliopsida; Poales; Poaceae.
CGAUGGUCAGAUAUGCCUUGCCAUGUAGUGUGGUGAGUAAGAACUAGAGAAAGGAAAUGGUAAUUAUUACCUUCCUGAUGCCCGCAAAAUGCAGAAGCAACUGCGAUAGUCCCAUCCAUGGUCUCCACAACUGCAAAAGAAUGAAGAAGAUGGUUAACGAGGCACCCAAGUUACUUCAUAAUCUGCACAGGAUUUACCCAAAAUGUAGCGCCUAUGUAGAAAUAACUAUGAAAUGUGUAGAAGAAUCAUCACAUGAACAAAUAAACAAGACCCCCAUUAACUUGGAAUGAUGUGAACACUAGCAAGAUGCACGACAGACCUUGGAAGACUGACUGCGUGUAACUGGAGCAAAAAUCAAAUUGUGAAAUAGAGUACAUGACUGGCAGUCUCUACAGGUGUACGAUUAAGAGUACAUCGCUUUUUCAAAUGCUAUGCUAUGGUUUUGUGCGGUUUGCGCUGUUGGCAAAAGCAAAACUAAUAGAAUUCCCAGAUGUGGCAAAACUAGCAUAUUGUUCCCCCGGAGACUAACUAAGAAGGAAUUGAUCAUGAUAGGAUGUACUUGUAAAUUACUUGGACUUCCAGAACAGGAAUCAAACAUGACAAAUGUAACAACUGUUACAACUGAAAUAUCAUAACUAACUCCGUUGCCGGUGAAUCCCUCAUCUUCACUGCAGUGGCAAGAUAAAACCACACAGAAUAAUAAGCCUACACAGACUACAUGAUCAUAGUGUACUAAGCUAAAUCUACAAGGGGGGCAUUUCCAGGACCAAAAACAGCACCAAAUAGAUCAUGCGAUUCUAGCUAUGCAAGUCCCCAAGUCAUACAGCCAACUGACUCGUAAGCAGCCGAUGCUAUGAUCCAUUAGCAGGACCGACUGAACCUACCCCUACACUUCAGCACGCAGCCGCGCCAGCACACAGCAUAAUUCGGCAGUGAGAUCCAACAAACAAAAGCCCCACGGCAGACACACACACACACACACGCUUCAAGGGGAAGGGGAAUCUACCUGCUGCCGAACAGACGGGGAUAGGAAGAGCCGGUGGUGUCCCAAAUCUGGGCCUUGACGACCUUGCCGUCGACCUAGAGGGAGCGGGUGGCG